RNAcentral lists this ribosomal RNA (253 nucleotides) under uncultured bacterium. Its description in RNAcentral is "partial 16S ribosomal RNA". It matches the Rfam family "Bacterial small subunit ribosomal RNA", at positions 524 to 776 of the family's 1533-position model. The record is from RNAcentral.
UACGUAGGGUGCAAGCGUUAAUCGGAAUUACUGGGCGUAAAGCGUGCGCAGGCGGUUACGCAAGACAGAUGUGAAAUCCCCGGGCUUAACCUGGGAACCGCAUUUGUGACUGCAUAGCUGGAGUACGGCAGAGGGGGAUGGAAUUCCGCGUGUAGCAGUGAAAUGCGUAGAUAUGCGGAGGAACACCGAUGGCGAAGGCAGUCCCCUGGGCCUGUACUGACGCUCAUGCACGAAAGCGUGGGGAGCAAACAGG